RNAcentral lists this transfer RNA (86 nucleotides) under Streptomyces sp. 111WW2. RNAcentral's name for it is "tRNA-Pro". Lineage: Bacteria; Bacillati; Actinomycetota; Actinomycetes; Kitasatosporales; Streptomycetaceae. The record is from RNAcentral.
GCCGUCCGUGUCGUCGGAGCGUUCGGAGCGUUCGGAGCGUUCGGAGCGUUCGGAGCGUUCGGAGCGUUCGGAGCGUUCGGAGAGCA